Chlorocebus sabaeus (green monkey) is the source of this 16426-nucleotide non-coding RNA. The record is from RefSeq and is a predicted model, not a curated record. NCBI's taxonomy places the organism in Eukaryota, Metazoa, Chordata, Mammalia, Primates, Cercopithecidae.
GUAAACUGCCCAGUCUUGAGCAUGUCUUUAUCAGCAGUGUGAGAACAGACUAAUACAGCGGUGAUCCAAGAAAAGGGAGAAGGAAUCAUAUCUAAACAAAUGAACACAUAUUUGUGAAAACACGGAGUCAGCAAAAGGGAGAAUGGUCCAUUGGGAAGAAGUAGAGUGUGAACAAGAGGAAGCAAUAAGAGAUGAACUUGCAGAGGCCUUGCUGGCUUUGGGUGCAUGUCGGGGGAGGUAGAUUUGUAUUAUGUAAGGAAUGACAGGAAGAAUGGCAUGAUCAUAAUGAACUUUCAGGAAGAUCCCUACAAAAACAUAUUGUAGGUCAGAAUGACAAAGGGCAAGAACAGUUUGGGAAUCUUUAUAAUUAAUUCAGAUGAGACAUGAGGAUUUAGAGUAUAGACCAGGGCUAAAAACAUUUUCAGUAAAGGACCAGAUAAUAAAUAUUUUAGGCUUUGCGGGCUCUAUAUUCUCUGUCAUCACUACUGAACCUGCCAUUGUAGCAUGAAAAAAACUAUAGAAAAUAUGCAAAACAUUGAGCAAAUCUGUGUCUCUAUGAAACUAUCUGCGGAAACAUAUGGCAAGUGAGAGUUGGUGUGUAGUUUGUGUCUCUUCUGGGUCACUGCGCACUGCACCACUCACAAGCGAACCUAUAUAGCUGCUUAAUUGCUACCCACAUCAAGAGAUUGAAGGAACGUAUAGAAAAAAAAGGAAAGGUAAAAAAAAAAAAAUCACUACCGUUUUUGUUUGUUUGUUUUGGUUUUUUUUAGAAAUCAAAGACAUACCUGUAUGGAUAACAAACACGUUUUCACAGCCACAAAUACACACCUCUUUAAUUCCUUCCUUUGGUGGGAUGGGACCAAGGUAUGUGGGGAAGCUCAUGGCUGAGAAGCCACAAGCAGGUCACUGUAACUUGACUCUAGCUCAUCACUUGGCGUGAUUCCUGGUGCCUUUCUUUAGUCAUCAGUGCCUCACACCCAGGGUAAAUUUAGUUGUGAUUUUUUUUCUCUCCUAAUAAAGUCAGCACUUGAAUUUCUGCAAGUAGAACAGCCUUGCAUUGCCAUUUACCACGUGCUUAGGCCACUCGGUUAUCUACAAAUGAUGACAGCAAACGCCUUUGAACAACAGCUUAAGGGAAGUGUCUUUAGGGAAAGAAAAUAUGGAACAAAGCACCACAUUUCUAACUCAAAUACUCUUAAAAAUCUGUGGAAUGCUCUCUCUGAUAGUGUCACUGCACUGACAGUUUUCCUCCCCGUAGCUAUGGGUGAGGAUUAGCUGGCAGGAUCCUCAGGUGCUCUCUGGGCUCCCAGGGUGGGGGACCCUUCGGGGGGAUAAUAUUUGAGUUCCCAAAAGGGGCCCUGAAUUCUCUCGCUCUGUCCUGUCUCCCAGGUUUCUGUCUAUUCGCAUUCAACAUCUUUCCUGAAGCUUCCUCUUAAAUGCUCUUCCAUAGAGAUUCCCCUGUCACUCUGUCACUGUUAGAGACAUUGAAAGCUUACUCUCUCUCUCUUUCACUCUCUCUCUUUCUCUCUACCUCCCCUCCUACAUUAUUAUUAUUUUUUCUAGUCUAGCAAUGAUUUGAGGUUUAUUUGCCCCAUUCCCUGCUCAGUCUUCCAUGUGGUGAAAAGCCCAUCCUGAUGUCUGGCUGGGAUACAAAGAGGGUUGGCUGGAUGCAGCAGAGCCACCUGUGCCCAGUGUGGACAUUUAACUUCGACCUCUCUCACACCAUGCUUCAGAACGCUGAGAGCAAUCCCCCAGUCACCAUCACUCCUUUACAGUGCCAUAGAAAUUAAAAGUUAAUUAAAGAAAAGGGCAGGACACAUUUCUGUAAAGCAUCAAACACUCGGGGGGAAAUUCAUUUAUAGUCUCCUUUAUAGCUGCCGUUGAUCAGGUUCUUCCUUCCAGGGUUACAGAGAACUCCCUGGAAAUAGUGUCUAGCAUUACAAGUCUUACAGCCGAGGGCCUCAUUGUUUCAAUGUACUGAGAUGCAGCCACAUAAAACUUAACCAGCAACAAAGGCUGAGGGCCCCCUCUCGGGAUUGCCCUUCCAAGUGCUUCUCACAGCAGCCUGAAAACACUGGUAUAAACGUGGCUUCCAAGGUCUAGGAGUCAGUAGUUGGCAGACAAUGUCAGAGUGGUUGGGAAAUAAUCUAUUUUAGCUUGCUACCAUGAAGCUCUUUUUACUCCUCCCUCAUAAAUAUCUGCUUCCUAAUGGACAUGAGAAGAAAGGUUUUCAAAAUCCCUCAAAUAGUUAAGAAUCAGAGGAAGUCUAGGAAGUAACUUUUAACUCCACCAUGGUACCAUUCACACUGAAAAAAUACACAUAGAGUCUUAGUAUUGAAGUAGCUUUAACAGUGAUCUAGUCCAUAACCCAGCAUCUUCUCCUGCCCCGAUAAACGCUUGUCUGGUCAUUGGACAACAAAUGAUUGUUGAGAAUUUGCUAUGUGACAGGCACUGUGUGAAAUAUUAGAGUGAGAAGGAUAAGACUCCCAACACGAUCUACUCAAUUUUGUAAACUUCUAGUGACAGGGAACUCCUUACAUCUACCUUCCUACUUGGGAGAGCUCUGUAUGUCUGAAAUUAUCAUUUAAUUACUCACUUAGCUUCUAAUUGUUGAUCCUAAUUCUAUUCCUUGAGAUACACAUGAUAAACUUUUUAAAUUGUAAUAUAAGUUCCCCCCAAUGGAGUCUAAUUCUCCUUCUUGACAGAUUAAUGCAUAGAAAAGGUAGACUACAUAAAGGUGUUCCCCCAAUGCCAGGAAAGGCAGGAGGCUGUCUGUUUUCUAAUGGGCAAUAGAUAAUACGAUACAUCUUGGAGAGUUUCCUUAUUUGGCAGCCUAAAGCAUCUCUCAGAAUCUGAGGGUAAGCACAGAGGGUAAGGUCGCUGACCUGUGACAACUGAAGGUAUUUUACUGCAUUCUCAUCCUCAAACACAGGAUAAAAAGAAUGAAAAACAGUAGGAAGACACCUUCAAAGCCAUAAAUCUCUAACUUCAUAUUGUUUUGUUAAAUAUUUUCUUUCUUUUUUGUUGACAUGCUUAUUUUUCUAGACAGAUGUACAUCCAUUGCAUUAGAGUAAGAGGUAUACCUUCCUGCCAAAACGUCCGUGGAGUAAGACUCCAGAGUUAUACUAAUUUGUACAUAGUUAUUCAAAUUAAAAACAGCAAGAAAGACCACAUUUCUGAACCUGGGUCUGAUAGAAGACAAGAACCCUAUCUUCUUUAGACUAUAAUAAAAGUUAGCGAUAGUGAUUUUUAAUACUCAUUUUUUUCUUCUCUAUGCAUCGAUUGUUCUGGGUAAGUAUUCUCAUGACUCCUAGAGAAGGAAGGGAGAGUAAAGGCAAGAAGUCAUAAUUGGAUCUUCACAAUGAGCUUCUCACUCUCUUUCAGGAAUCUUAGAUACCACUAAAAAUGCUGUCUUUUCAUCAGGUAGCUGAGCCUGAAAUUAAACUUUUGAAGUAUAGUCUUUGGAGGAUUCUGUUUCUCUUUUCUCUCUCCUUUUAGUAUUGAUUUUUCUCCUUUCACUUGUUGGUGCUACUUCUUUUCUUGUUGCUGGAGAUUUGUUAGAGCCACAUUUGUACAUGAUUUCUUAUUUAUGUUUGUUUUGUACAUAAGCACCAGAUGCUUCAAGUUCCAGCUUCCCAAUCAGUCAAGAGAGUUCUACAGAAGUCAGGGCUGUCACUCAGAAGAAUGAGGAACCCACCCACUUCUCCUGAUCCCAAGGCAGGUUCAUCAGAGACACAGGCAAGACUGCCCUGUGGACAUUGGCAGUGGAAUUGACUAAGUGCCUAUCGUGUUGAGAAGAAAAAUAUUAUAAGCAUAUAUCCCUAAUCAGGAAUCAGGAGGAUUAACUAAAUUUUUUAAGAUGGCAGUAGAAAUGGAAAGAAAGUUUGUAAACAUUCACAAGUGAGAUCAUGUCUCUCAAAAGAAAGCACUGAUUCCAGGUGUCCCAUGAGAGCUUGUACUCAUGCCUGUAAAAAAAUAUACUGCUACUCUACAGGUAUGAUGUUACCUUUAAAGAAUAUGCUCCCUGUUGUGAACACGAUUUCUACAAUCCUAGAAAGGUGAUAGAUGAUGGUUUUCACUGUGGCAUAUUAUAUAUUCACACAUACCUGCCUUUCCACUGACCUUGGAAAAUAGUCAAGUCAUCCUGAAGACAUUCCAGGUGAGCUCAUUGUCUAAGAUUCUCUGCCUUGUGGAUGCAUGCAGAAUAUUUGGCAUUUCUCUCAAGUCUCGAGAUGCCUGUGUGUGCUUGGGCCCUGACCACAACAUCUCCAAGGAGACAUGCUGAAAGCAUUCCUCCUACUUACCCAUAAUUUCUGUUAAAGCCAGAAAGGAAGAAAUCAUGGAACAAAUUUGUAUGCAGUUUUGCAUUUUGUGAGUAUGACAUACUAGUCAGCCUGACAUUACACCUUUCCUGAUUCGAAGUAAUAAGAUAGUCCAUAAAAUAUUAGGAGAGACCUAGAAUAUCCAAAUUCUUGUCCUUACACUGCCUCUCAUCAGCUAUUGAUCUGAGCAAAUCAUUUUACUUCUCUGCCUUUCAUUUCCUAUUGAAUGGUAACAAUGACGAUUUUUCCUUUUUCACAGAGUAAUUGUGAAAAUCAUAUUAGAUCAUGCCAAUGAAAAAGCUUUAUGAAGUCCUCUCUGAAAGGCAUGUUGCUGGGCGAAGUGGGUAAAGGUAAAUCAUGAGCUCCACUUUUUCUGUCUUGGCCUUGGCCUCACACAAUCCCAGUGUUGGGCAACUGAUACUGCUUAGUGGAACCACAGCAUGAUGAUGACGAAAGGAAACAGGAUGAGAACUUCUUAGGCUUUGGUGCCAUACCACUAAAAUGUGGUUCACAUCAUGUUAAAUAGUUCACAAUGCUCGUUUCCUUGCACUGUCUUGCUCUAUCCAUUCCCAAGCAUAAAUAUGACUUUCUCCAUUUUAUGGACAAGGAAACUGAUGUGAAAAGAGGGUGAAUAACUUGCACAAUCACAUUAUUGUCUAUUAGAAGAACUUAGGAAUUCGAGGGUAAGAUUUCAUGUGAUCUAGCCCUAUUAUAUAAAGACAGCAACUGUCUAUUCGGUCCCUUCACUUAGACAACACAUGUUAUUGAGGACUAACUGUAGGCCCAGGCAUUUUUGCAGGCACUGAGGAGACACCAGUGACUAAAACAAGCAAAGUUUCUACCUUCGUGAAGUGGCAGCAUCUUCUGGAAAGGAGCUGACCAUAAAGAAGCAAAGAUAAAAUUAUGGGAGAUGUCAAAUACGGCUAAGUGCUACAGAGACAAAUCAAGUGGGGUAUAUGGAGGGCCAGGAUGAGUGAAGAUGCUGUUAUUUUAUACUGAGGACAUUCCCAUGUGAGAAGAUCACCUGAAAGCAGAGACCUGGCUAAAAUCAGGUUUAAGUCAUGCAACUAACUUGACGAACAGUGCUCUCAGCAGAGGGACCAGUAAGUAGAAAGCAGAUACAUAGCCCUUGAAAGGGACCCAGGGGACAUGGUCCAUGACCGGCAAGGAAGGCAGAGUGGGCAUGGGGUCAGCCGGCUGAGUACGCCACGUGUAAAUAGGGGCAAAUGAGGCCACACACUGGCCGGGCAUUGUGCCAGUCCUCAUGGGCCAAGUGCAGACAGAUUUUCUUCUGAACGACUGUGAAACUGUGUCAUGGAUCUCUAAAGUUCUUUGCUGUGUCCACUUGAGCAGAUGAUGCACACCAGCUCCUUCCAUCCUAACCAUUUAAACCUGCAUAUGUUAGAAAUGUCCCUAAAUACUGUCGUCUUCAACCUGAGACUAAGGAUGGGAAAGACAAACUUUCCUGUCUCAGCUAGAAAGUUUACAGUGAAGUGUGUGCAUUUUAUUUCAAGUCCUGUGUUUAGCCCUCCGUGUAAGUAAAGUAAUUCUUCAAAGAGGCAUCCUCAUUUCUAAACAAAGUCCCUCUGGGAAACCUCCUGUAUCCAUCAGGAUGUGCAUCUCAUGGAAGGGAAGCGAGUCCUACUUACCCUCAGUGGUUACGGGUGACUGUUCUUACCUCCUUCCAGUGCACCUAUCAGGUGCCAUGUAACACGGUCCCUAGCCAUCUUGAGAAAUUAGAUCAAUCCCCCUUUGCCCAUUAAAAGGCUCAUAAACAUUUGUAGCAUCAAAUUAGUGCUGGUAGAUUUCCCAAACUUGGAACACGUUAAAAUGCACAGUUGGGUAAGAAGAAUCAAUUAGGGCCAGACAGGGUGUUGGAAGUUAAACAAUUUGUCUAUUUUAUGAUUCUACACUGUGGAAAGGGGGUGUGUGUGUGUGUGUGUGUGUGUUUACACUUUAGUUCAGAUUUAAAAUCACUCAUGUGUAUAGUUUGUGUAAUUCAAUUUGUGAUUGGAGCAGAAACUACCCACAAAGUGAGAGGUUAUUUUUUGAGGAGUCAGAAAAGGCUUGUAUUUACAACUUUGUAAUUUGUAAUUAAGCUUAUUGUAGCUUUCCCACCUCCUAAACCUCAGUCAACUAAGCUUAAAUUUAGACAGGAAACUAGCAAUUAUUCAGCAAAUACACUAUGCAUACGAUAAUCAUAAUCCAGAUAAAAAAGACCAAACCUGGCUAGUUGCCUCUUCUCCCAAAUUCAUCAAACAAUUGACAGUUUUCCAACAUUUUUUCUGCCUUUACCAUCCUUUCUAAAUAAAGGCCAAAAAUAGGUAAGGAAGAUAAUAUAGAAUAGAGGUUAUUCACUUGGGGUCUAUGGGCCCCCAUGGGGUCUGUGAAUAGAAUUCAGGGAGGUCUAUCAACUUCAAUGGGGAGGAAAAUUACAUCUUUAUUCUCACUCACCUCUAAUUGAAAUGUAGCAUAUCCUUUAUUUAUGAAUAUAGAGAACCAAGCACAGAAGUGUCAGAAGUGCCUGGGACUUUAUCAGUGAGAAAAAUCACAGCUAUUUUUAUAUCCUAUUAUACGCGGUGCCAAUAUCUUGAAAUAUCCUUUUCACUCAACAUUUCUUCCAAUUUGUGUUAGUUGUUAGACUCACUGCUAGAUUUGAAUUUAAUGCAUUAAUCAUGAAGCACAUGCUAUACCACAAUUUUUUAAAUAUUUUGAUAGCUGCAUUUUAAUACAAUUAAUUUUCUUUGUAAUCCUAUCUACGUGUCAAAAGGAUCUAGAGCUCAAAAAUCUGAAGAACCCCAGGUCUAGAGAGGCAAGCGCUGCCAUUCUAAGAGGCUCUGCUGGAUGGUGCAGUGUGGACGAACAGCUUCCGCUAGGUUCCUCCCAAACAGGUUUCCCUGCCUCGCCCCUCACAGCGCCUAAAAGUCUACCAAGAAAAGGGUUCGCUUUUACUACAAUAUUUCUUCCCUGCACAUCAUUAACAGCACACAGGAAAUUAAUUUGUAACUUAAAAAGAGAAGAAGAAUAUAAUUGGCAAUAAAAUAGUUACUAAGCCAAGCACUCGGCUAAGCACUUUACUUAAAAUCUCAUUUAAUCUUCAAAAAUCUGUAAGUGGGUACUAUUAUUUUCCCCAAUUGAUAGAAGAGAAGACCGAGAUUCAGAAAGGUUAAGUGCCUUGCCCAGUAACACCCAACGAGAUCUUUUCUGAACUAAAGUCAGUGACUCACUGAGAGUUAUUUUUAUGUAAUGCCCGUUCACAUGAAAGAAUGUGAUGUGAGGGAAGAACAGGAAAAAGUUACAUGGCCCGUGCAGGAGUUCAGGACAUGCCACCGCUUUGGCACAUUGAUUAUUUUAAGCUAAAAGCACUUGAAAAACAGCAGGCUCAAGAAAAGCAUUCUGACCUUCCCUUUUCUCCCUGGAAGCCGGAGCUGUAACUCCCAGGUGAAAGGUGCCCUCUCUAGACCAGGGGAAAUAAACAUUCUUAUCACCAGAGACGGGCAGUCGAGGUGAGAAAUCUGUACAAACAGACCUUGUUAAAAUAAUUCCUAUCUGCCUUAUUUUAGUUACUUUUUCGCAGUUGCCUCUCUUUGCUCAGCGCAGUAUAUAAGCACUUACUCCUGGCCAGUUCUGGGCCUACAUUUUUUUAAAUGGGGGCUCUCAUAUAUAUGCAAAAAUUACUGAAAAAAAUUGUGUAUGCUUUUCUCCGUUUCAUCUCAUUUAUGUCAGUACCAGCUGGAAAACCUAAGAGGCCAGAGGAAGAAUUUUACCUCCCCUAUACCAGCAGUUUUCAAAGUGUGACCUGCGGACCCUAUGGGGUCCCUGAGACUUUUUCAGAAGGUAACUGUCCUCAGAAUAAUCCUAAGACAUCAUUUCCCUUUUUCAUUGUGUUAAUAAGAGUAACAGAAGUGCCAAGACAAUAGUGGGCGGAACUUCUGGCAACUGAGCAAGAAUCAAAGCAGUGGCAGCAAACUAUCGGUUGUCACCGCGUGCUUCCUCACCAUGCCUGUGCACAAAGGAGGAAAAAAAAGAGAGAAGAAAAGAAAAGGAAAGAAAAAGACAAUGCCUGUUGUCCUGUUUCACUUAAGAAUGUCCUUGAAUGAAGGAAAGAGUAAUUUUAGUAUAUCUUGACUCCGGAGGACACAUGUUUAAAUAUUCCGUACAACCAAAAUAGAAAGCAUACAUCCAGCACUUAUGCAUACCAUAGUAUAGUGGCUGUCUACAAGGCCUGCCACCUGUGUUUUUCUUUGGAAAAUUUGAACUGAGAAUUUAAAAAAAAAAAAAAAUUUAAAGGUUGUUAAAAAAAAAAAAAGAAUAUUUGACAGAUACCUUAUGUAGCCCACAAAGCCUAAAAUACUUUCUUUCUGGUCCUUACAGAAAAAGUUUGCCAGCAGGAAAAAAGCAAUUGUGUCAUCAUUCGAAUUGUGAGCAGAAAUAUCUGCAUUUUUCAUGAAACACUGCUUUUCCUUGAAUGAUCUUGAAUGAAAUUACACUUAUUCAGAAUUGGUAUCUUGAACACAUUUUCUCAAGAAGUGUCAUUUCAAGGAAAACAAUUGAUAGUAUUUAUUGCCAGUUAUAAAAUUUGAGCUUUCAUGGAGAAAAUAAGAGCUUUGGAAAACUUGAAUUCAUCACCAUGACUUGACAGCUUUCCAAUAUUUAAAGACUUUUCAGAUGAGAUUGGGGGUGUUAUUAAUAAGUUUUAUUUUUAUAUUAUAUGAUGAAAUGUGUCAAUAUUUGGAGGAUCUGCAUAACUCUGUAAAUCAAUAUUUUCCAAGUGAUUUUUAGGGUGUGAUUUUACAAAACUGAGCAUGGUAAAAAUAUCAAUUCAAAAUACAAGACAGACCAGCAGAUAGAUAUUGGGGUAAAACAGACGUACCAUAAAAUUCACUCUUUUUAGGGAUACAGUUCAAUGUGUGUUAGUAUAGAGUUGUGGAACUAUUAUAACAAUCUCAUUUUCAAAGAAUACUAUCACCCCACAAAAAAGCCUCUUGCCAUUUAUAAUGAUUCCCCAUCUCACAACCAGUCUUAAGCCUCUAGUAUACUUUGUUUUUACAGAUUUGCCUUUUCUUGACUUUUCUUGUACAUAGAAUUGUAAAGUAUAUGUUCAUGACUAGUUUCUUUCACUUAUUUUCAAGGUCCAUCCAUGUUGUAACAUGUACGAGUAUUCAUUCCUUUGUAUUGCCUGUAUGAGAUAUAAAAACACACACAAAACUGUUUUUCCUUCUCUCACAUCCAACACUUAAUACUUCAUCACCAAAAUGUACAGGGAGUUUUCCCCACUCACCAAGCAAUUCCCCAGUACACAGUUAAAUUGUGUUAAUUGUGUUCAAUGGUGUCCUACCAUUUAAGUCAAUUCUGACAUUAUCUAUUAUAUUUGAAGUUAGCCUCAGAUCACGCAGGGUAAGGGCUUAAUCCCACAAGACUGCCCUAACCUCAGAUGCCAAUAUGAAGCCCGGACUGUUUGGCCUGACAAACAACUAUACAUAGGGAACUAUCACAAUCCCGUGGGGCAGAUUUGCUAGGGCGGUUUACAGAACUCAAGGAAACACUUUACUUACUACUACCGAUUUAAUACAGGGAUUUUUUAAAGGAUACAAAUAGGCAGAUGAAGAGAUGCACAGGGAGAGGUUCAGGAGGAUCCCAAGUGCCGGAGCUUCUGGCCCCAUGGAGUUGGGGUACACCAUCCUCCUGGCAUUUGGAUGUGUUCUUGUUCAUCAAUCUGGAAGCUCUUAGAAGAACUCAGUCCUUCUGGUGUUUUAUGGAGCUUUCAUUGCAUUAGCAUAAUUGAUUAAAUCGUUGAUCACUGGUGAUCAAAUCAAUGUUUAGGUACUCUCCCCUCCCUCCAGGUUGGAGAUUGGGAGUGAAAGUUCCAAGGCUCUAAUCACAAAGUGGGUUCCCCUUGGCAAGCAGCCCCUAUCCUGAGGCUACCAAGGAGCCCCCAGUCAUCAGUCAUCUCAUUAGCAUGCAAAAAGACACUUAGCACUGAAGAAGUUCCAAGGGUUUUAGGAGUUGUAUGGGAGGAAACAAGGAUAAAGACUAAACAUAUAUUUCUCAUAAAUCACAAUCUCACAUUGCCAAAUAGUAUUCCAUAAUAUGGAUAUGCCGCGUAUUGAUUGUGCUUUCACUGGCUGAUGGACAUCAGGGCUGCUUCCAUUUGGGAGCUAUCACGAGUGACUGAGUAAUGCCACUAUGAACAAUUGCAUACGCGUCUUUGUGGGACAUGUCGAAACUGCCUUUGCAAAGAUUACGACAGAGAGAAAUCUAGCAUAACAGACUCCAUCUUUCUUCUAGCCUCACAGGCUCUCUGUUCUCACUCAUUCCUGGGCAUAGGCCAAGCUAAGCACAGAAGGGAUUUAGUUUAUAGUUUAACUGAAGCAGGGAAUAAUUAAUCCUUCCCUAAAACUAUUCCCCUCCUUGCCCAGGGACCAAAGCCACUUUUGUAAAGCUAAUAAAAGGCUCUGAGAUUAGGAUUAUGGGAGGGGCCUGAAUUCUGCUAAAAUGGAGGCAUAGUUUGUAUGAUCCCUUACGGCACAGGAGACAUGUGGUCAAAGAUCUGUUCCUAUGGAUAACAUCACUAUUCUAGAACCUAAGAUUGGUCUUGUGAUGUUUUUCAGAUUACUGCAUUCUGGUAACCGACUGACGACACCCAGUGUUGUCACUCAUGACCCAGAGGUGGACUCAAUGUACAAGGGCCAUUUUCCAUACUCCUGUGAUUUCAUCCCCAACCAAUCAGCAAAUCCAUUCCCUACUCCCCUGCUCACCAAAUUAUCCAUAAAAGCCUUAGUCUCUGCAUUCUUGGAGAGGCUAAUUUGAGUAAUAAACUCCUCUGCUCUGCUUAGCUGGCCGUGCAUUAAUUAAACUCUUCAUUUACUGGAAUAUUGUUGUCUCAGUGAAUUGGGUUUACCUGAGUAGACGGCAGGAAGAAUCGCUGGGUGAUUACAAUAUGAUUUCAUUUCUCCUGGGUGAAUAUAUAGGAGCAGGAUUGCUGGGCCACACGGUAACUCCAUGUUUAACAUUUUAGCCAUGUGAGUGAGCUACUGUGGAAGCUAUUCCUCCAGCCCUGGUCAGGCAGCCUUCAGAUGUCUGCAGACUCAUCAGAGUCCCUGAGGCAGAACCACCAACCUAAUCCAUCCAGGAUUCCUGAGCCUCAGAAAUUGUGAAAUAAAUAUUUGCUUUAUGCUGUUGUGUUUAGGGUAAUGUGUUAUACAGCAAAAGAUAACCAAUGCAGUUUUCUCAGAUUUCUCCUCAGCCUCGACACCUUUGCGGACAAGAUCGGCUUCAAGACCCUUAAUUGCAUUUUUAAGAAGCCAUACUUUCCUCCCUUUGGUGACCGGUUGGUGUGAUGUCCAACGGAAGAUAAUGUUACAGUUCAGCUAUGUACAAUUUCACUGUAGAUUCCAUUUCAAAAUUGGUCUUUGCUUCUCUAAGGAGGAGUGCUUUGACUAUGAUAAGACACUCGAAUGCCAACACAACAGACCUAACAGUUAAUCUCUUUGAAUGAAUAAUCAUGCCCUAUGCAUAAAAAUUUGCUUUAUAAAUAAUGUUAUUAUGUUAGUUGUUUAGAAGAAAACUAGUUCUCAGUUUCAGCAAAUGUGACAAAAAUUAAUAAAUCGACUGAAGCAUAAUCAAUAAUAUGAAGCAAUGGGAACUGAUUUAACAUGGGGAAGUGGCAUGAUAGAUAUCAAAUAAUACCUUGGUAGGAUAUGAUGUAAAUGUAAACAAAAAGUUGAGAAAGAAGUAGGUAGUCAGGCAGGCAUGAGGAGGACAGGAGAGGUCCCCCCUCCAGCAAUGUCAGGUGUCUAUCAGGUGAUGGUCAUGCAGUUGUUAAACUCUCUGUCUAAAAUAAGAAUCGGUCACAGCCAGCACCAGGGAAAGACAGUCUCCCAAUAGAUAGAAAACAGUUGAAGCUGGUGAUCGGUAGCUUCCCGAUAAGAUCUCAGGAGCUGGGCAAGCAGACUCAGGCAUGCACUCUAUGAGGCAAAAUGGCAGAGUUUAACUGGUAUAUGACCUUCCUCUAGGAAUACUCGACUGGCAAGGGAAAAAACCUCCAGUCAGCAUGCAUAGAACUCCAGCAAGCACGCUGUGCACGCGACCCCUCCGAAGUGCUGGCGCGCCACUAUGCACGGAGACACCCACCGCAGGGGAAGGACCAGGAGAGAAGAGACACAAAUCCCGAAGUGUGCCAACAUAGAAAAACCCAAAUCCAAGGCCGCACAGCACACCUGGAUCUCACAAAUCAGGCACUUGGCCCUCUUUGAAGUGCACUUUACUUCCUUAUGACCCUGCUCUAAAGCUUUUUAAGUAAAAUUUCACUCUUGCUCUAAAACUUGCCUCAAUCUCUCACUCUGCCUUAUGCCCCUCGGAUGAGUUCUUUUCUCUGAGGAGAUAAGAAUUGAAUUGCUGCCGACCCAUAUGGAUUUGCCAAUGCUAACAACCAUACCAUGUUUACAUUCACACCAGCAGUGAAUGAGGGUUCCAAUUUCCCCAUAUCCUCCUAAAAUCUUGUUAUUGUCCAAAGUAUUAUAGCUAUUCUAUGGUUGUGAAGGAGAAUUUCAUAGUGAGUUUAAUUUGAGUUUUCCUAAUGACUAAUGAUGUUGAAUAUUUUUCAUGUGAUUAAUGGCCAUUUCUAUAUCUUCCAUGAAGAAAUGUGUGUUGAAAUUCUUUGUACAAUUUUUAAACUUUUUAUUUUGAAGUAUUUACAGAUUCUCAGUAAGUUGCAAAGAUAGUAAAGAAAAAACUAGUACAUUUUAAUGUAACAGAUCAAGAAAAUCUAAUUGAUAUGGUUUCUGAUUUUACAUUGCAACUACUUUUUAAGAAAGUAUCACUUGUUGAGUUUUGGUAUACUAUCAAAGAAGAAUAUCCACAACUAUCAUAAAAUCUAUGAAAAUCCUCCCUUUUCUUACUACAGUCUGUGUGAAGCCAGAUAUUCUUUACAUACUUAAAAUAUAUAUAUAUAGUAACUAAUUAAAUUUAAAACCAGAUAUAAGGCAGUGGCUGCGUUCUAAGAAACUUGCAAAACUAUAAAGCAAUGUCAUUCUUCUCAUUAAUGUUUUUGUAAAACAAUAUAGCUAUCUUUCAUAAAAAUUACUUAUGUUAACAUGGAAUGAAAUUUGUAUUGCUACUUUUCAAAGAAUUAAAAAGCAUGAAUUUUUUGUCAGUUUUAGUUUGCCAUGUGGAAGUAUUGCUACAUAUCCCUCAUGAACAAAAGCUCUUUGGAAUCCUUAACAAUUUCAAGCAUGUAGAAAGAUCCUAAGACCAAAGAGUGUGAGAAUUGCUGCUCUAAGUGUUACCCUAGGAAGACAGGUGUGGGUGAGCACUGCACCCCUGAGGCAAUGAGGACAGUGUGGCCUCCUUAGGAAGCCGGUGGGUUACGUGAACACAGAGAGAGUGAGGGGAGGACUCUGAGGACAGAAGUUGGGGUUUCUCACAGGCACAUACAUGCACACAUGUAAACUCCAAUCUCUGAGAAAAACUAGGAAGGAAGAGAAUAUCUGACAGCCUAAUUUUCUAACAGUGUAUAAAUGUAGUACUGUGCACAUGAAAACUCAAAUCCAUAGCCUAUCUGCACAGCUCUCAGGCUCUGGGGUCAUCACCAAAACACUACAGUGACACCCUGUUCUGCUUCCUCUGAUGGCUCCACCCGACUCACUCAUGCUCCCAGGUUCCUUCCUCUUUGACGGGGCCUGCCAGGGUGCCUCCUUCCUCUCUGAAAUGCCUCCACAGUUCCUCCCAUCUGCCUGCAGGAGGCAUGCAGCCUCCUCAGCUUCCCCCUCCCUUGCUCUGCCUGCAAGAAGCACAGAUGCCUUUGAAAACGAUACUUGCAUUGCUGAACACUGCUGGGAACUAGCUAAGGGCAAUGGGAGUGACCCAUGUGGAGAGGUUCUGAGCCUCCACCCAGGACUUGGGAGGUUCCACUCAACCCGGAAGGAUUUCCCAGAGGCUCCUUUCACCCAACCCGGAAGGAUUUCCCAGAGGCUCCUUUCUUCCUGGGAGUGAGGAGAACUUUGGCUCAGGUAUCAGAAAUCCCAUCCAAGUCCUGACUCUGGUAGCAGCAUUAGUCUUUCUGAGUGUCAUUUUCUCAUCCACAACAUAGGUGAUGAAUUCUUCUCAUAUUAAUCAAAGAAAUACAUAUGCAAGUGUUUUUAAAUACAAAACUCUAUCAAUGUAAGCCACAUUAUUAUGAAUAAAUCUAAAAGCACAUUCUCAUACUUAAUUCAAUGGGUCCUUGUUAUUAUUUCAUAAACUAACAUAAAGGUAGCCAACUAUGAGGUAACACAGCAGAGAAAUGCAGAAGAUCUAAGUAGCAUUGUUUAUACGUGUGUGUAUGUAUAUACUUGGAAAUCAGAGGAGUAUUCUAUAUUCUCUUCAUUUCUUUGAGCCAAGGGUACUUGAUUGAUUAGUUUAAAUAUUAAAUAUGCCCUUUUGUUUUCUCUCAGUUGGACUUCUCUCUGAAAUAUAUUUGCUUUCUUCAUUUCAUUUCAGAAUUUGCUUGGAACCACAGUUUUUAAAAACGUGAAAUAAAGCAGCUGGAAUUUUUGUGAUUUAAAAUCGUAAUGAUGAUGAUGAUAAAUGAAAGCACAUAUCACUCUGGGGGAACAGCAGACUGGAGGAAGGAAUGGACGGUGCAGCCAUGAGGCAGCAUGCAUACCUUGUAUGCUACACUGAGUUUCGCCCUAUGUCCCUACAAAGUAUCAGGUUUUCAGAGGUGUGAGUUCGCAAGGAAAGACUUUAGGUCACCAUGCCUUAAAUGUGGGUGACUAUGUUGGAAAAAAAACAUUUAACUUAUUUCAAUUGCCUGGACUGUGUAGUGGAAGAGAAUCAAUUCUAAGUUAACUGAGUCCCAAACCACAUACAGCUGUAUAGAUUAGGUUUUAUAUCGUGAAAUGCAUUCUUCAGUAAUGAGGAAACUUGUGUGGACUUCAGAAACGAGAAAAAUCUUCUCUGUCCAAGAAAGAUUUAGGAGCAGCAUCUGCGUCCUGCAGAAGAGAUAGACUGGAGCUGGUACAAGUUAGAGUUUGGUUAUUACGGCAGCUUCCUACUUUGCCAGACAGAGCUUUCUUGAAAACGUACGUGAAAUUCUAAUGUUAAAGGUUAGCAAAGGCUAGUGUUUGGUAAGAGACAAAUAAGAGUACACAAUGAAAAUAUUAUCUUCCUAAUUACACUUUACAUUUCAGGGACAGUUUUCAACAAAACACUUCCCGCAUUUCACAUGGUCUUAAUUUUGUAAACACACCUAUUUAUUUCCAUCAUUUUCUCAAUUGUACAAUGGGCUCAGCUAUAUAUAAAUAUGAGACCUCAGCUUCCUAGCCCUAAUAUUAACCUUUUCAUUUUCUGCUUUCAAUUCAUUAAAAAAGGGGAAAAUGCAACAAAGCAUUCAAAUGAUUGUAUGCACAAUAUUACCACAGAAAUAUCUGCACGAGGCUGACACACUAGACCACUGGCGGACAGGCAGCACUUCCUAAGAUCCCUGGAAAGGUUAAUACACCCACUGUGGUAGGAAAGACUGAAUCUGGUGUAUGCAAAGCAGCUUAUGAGAGUCAGGUGUAAUUAUGUAAGUAAAUAUUUCUAAAAAGCUGAAUGUAUGGAAGUCAAAGAUGCUUUACUGAAAUUGUCUGUUGAUUUCUUUCUUUCUAUUGCAGGGACCUUAAUAACUUGCAGACGGCUACACACUUCUCACAUUCCUGAGCCUGAUGCAGAACAAAGGCCUGGAGGGCCAGUUUUCAUCUCAAAACUUGAGUUACACUAUGUGCCCAUGGAUUCAUAUCCUGCUUGCCUUAUUCAGUAACUGAUUUUUAAAUGGAACAACGUUUGACAUGACUUCUUAAAAAAGGUGUUGUUAAGUCAUUAUAUAGAGGGAAAAUAUGAUAACCUUAUUAAAUUACCUGCCCUUGUAGACUGGGUAAUGUGGCAGGCCUGUCCCCCGAAGGUCUGUAUUGAGACAAGAUGCAUGGUGAAAGCCACUGUAAUCCAUUGCGUCCUGCUUCAAGGUGAGUGUGGCAAGAGGAAAACUUUCCCUCUAAAGCCCCUAGAGGAAAAUUAACUCAAACUGGAGGGACUGAGGCAGCAGGAAAGGCAAAAGGUAGGAGUACUUUUAGUUUCCCAGGGUU